This is a long non-coding RNA of Herpailurus yagouaroundi (jaguarundi), 307 nucleotides long. RefSeq lists it as uncharacterized. Lineage: Eukaryota; Metazoa; Chordata; Mammalia; Carnivora; Felidae. The record is from RefSeq and is a predicted model, not a curated record. The transcript has 3 exons.
GAGAGCACAAUGUUUUGGGUGUUGUGGGUGGAGGCCAGGGUGUGUGUGGGUUUGUGGGGGUGUGUGUGUGUGUGUGUGUGUUUGUACCUCGUAUGUCUUAAUUUGUUAGAUAGAACACAUAAGGACAGGAAUUAAGUCAGUGACUGGGCAUGUAAGAAGAGUUGGUAAAUUUUACUCGUAUUUUCCUUGGUAGAAGUUAAAAAUUCAAGCAACCACGCUCCGUCAGUAGAGCAUGCGACUCUUGAUCUCGGGGUUGUAAGUUCAAGACCCACCCAUGUUGGGUGUAGAGAUUACUUGAAAAAAAAAA